Long non-coding RNA from Pseudophryne corroboree (corroboree frog), 689 nucleotides. RefSeq lists it as uncharacterized. The record is from RefSeq and is a predicted model, not a curated record. NCBI's taxonomy places the organism in Eukaryota, Metazoa, Chordata, Amphibia, Anura, Myobatrachidae. The transcript has 4 exons.
UUAAAUGUUGCUCUUACCCUCAUUUUGUGUCUCUUGUAGGUAUUUUUGGCUGGAGAAUUAAUCCGCAUUUAUUUUGUUGGCAAGUUAGCCUUUUUUCUUUGGCCCAGUUUAAGCACAAAAUCAUCUCUGUUGUUUUCUGGAGCAGGUAUUUUUGGCUGGAGAAUUAAUCCGCAUUUAUUUUGUUGGCAAGUUAGCCUUUUUUCUUUGGCCCAGUUUAAGCACAAAAUCAUCUCUGUUGUUUUCUGGAGCAGGUAUUUUUGGCUGGAGAAUUAAUCCGCAUUUAUUUUGUUGGCAAGUUAGCCUUUUUUCUUUGGCCCAGUUUAAGCACAAAAUCUUCUCUGUUGUUUUCUGGAGCAGGUAUUUUUGGCUGGAGAAUUAAUCCACAUUUAUUUUGUUGGCAAGUUAGCCUUUUUUCUUUGGCCAAGUUUAAGCACAAACUCAUCUCUGUUGUUUUCUGGAGCAGGUAAGUCCCCUAGGCCUGUGUGUUGUGGAGUCUGUGUGUGUUCAAAGUGUUUAGCUUAUGUUUGUCAUCACUAAUUUUUUUGUUUUUUAUUUUAUUUUACCGGAUUGAUCCGCAAAGUAGUGCUGUUCUUGCCUGUAAUAGCUACUAAAGGGCUCCAUUUUGUUUAGAAUGUAGUUUUACUUUUUUACAUAUUUUUGAUUAGUUAUACUUAGCUGUUUGAAAUAUU